Mercenaria mercenaria is the source of this 4447-nucleotide long non-coding RNA. RefSeq lists it as uncharacterized. Lineage: Eukaryota; Metazoa; Mollusca; Bivalvia; Venerida; Veneridae. The transcript has 3 exons. The record is from RefSeq and is a predicted model, not a curated record.
AGAUGAUGUCAAUAACACGGGAGAGUCUUUUCACCCCAAAUAACAACAGCCACCACUUUGUUAUUCCCCGCCGAUGAAUCGGAGGGGAUAUUGAAAUGGCGUUGUUCGUCCGUCCGUAUGUCCGUCCGCUGCCAUUUCUCUAACUAGCAGGUAAAAUUUCAUAAAACUUGAAAUAUUGAUCAGGUCGGAUAUCCGGGCACUUCACCGAUUACGUUGCAUAGCAACAAGAGCGAGGUGAAAGUAGACGCAAUUUUGUAAAGAGAAUGCAUUGUGUCUGGAACAACUGAGUUAGACCUUCCUGAUUUAUGACACAAGUGUGCUCUACAACAUGGACUUUGAUGAUGAAAUCUUGGCACAUUCAUGGCCUUUCUUCAGAGACUGCUGGUCAGCCAAAGAUCUGUCAGGUGAUCUGUGGAAUAAAUGAGGAAAAGCUUGAACUUGUUCAUAUGAGGACUUGGUUUAUAGAAGAUGUGGUAUGAGAAAUAUAUGUGAAUAUGUGGUUUGAAUAGGAGGUUCUUACAGAAGCAAAAUCAUUUUGUUGUAUCAGUUAUCAAGGAGGACAUAUCUAACCUUCAGGUUUUGUAAAAUAUAAUUCUUCCACCACCAUCAAAAGACAAGACAUGGUAAUUUAUGUAAAAAAUAUUGAAAACAGAACACUACCUAUCAAAAAGCUACUGUUAGUUUAGUUCCAGGAAGAGACAUUGUCCAGUUAAAAAAUGGCAACGACUCGGAAGCUAUAAAUUCCUAUGAAGAUGCUGACAAAUACUCCGAGUGAUAAUUUGUUAAUGUAUAAUACUAAAGGAACAGUGGUUAGGUUAAUACAGUUACAUGACAGAUGAGUGAUGAAUGUAUAUGAGAGUAUCGGGAAUGGAAGUUGACAGAAAUUUACAAACUGUAUGUAUUUGUUAUCAACAAACUCAUUUCUGUGAAGGCAAAGAGUAUGCAACAGAUCUUAAGAAUAGAGAAAUUUGCUUACAGUGUAAAGGAUAUGGAGUUGUGAGGCAUCUUUAGCAUAUCUGAUGGGACAAAAAGACAGUCACAGAAAUUUGUUGAUCAGGUAAAAGUUGUGUGCGACAGAUGGAAGUAGGAAAUUUGCAAAUGGGGUAAUGGAAAACUUUAUGAAUGAAAGAAUGGAUUCGGAAAAUGUGAUAAAUUGUAUAUGAAGGUUCUACAAAACAGACUGGUUGUCAUCAUCAACAGGAAGACCAUCAGAUAAUAAAACAAUGCUUCAGGGUUGACUGUUCCAGUUUUACAGCAGGAAAAUGCUUCAGGUAGGAAUGUUCCAGAAAUUAAAGACAAGAAAAGACAAGAGUAAAGUGUGUAAAUUAUAGGCUACAUUGUGCCCAGAAUGCUGAAGAUCUGUAAGUAAUACAUGCUCUAGUCUUAUUUGAAUUUUUUUCUUGCAGUUGCCAGUGUUUUCAGCCAGGGUAUAAAUAUGAACUUUGUGUUGUAAAUGAAAUCAGUACAAGCUGCAUUUAUACAGUAGAUUAGAGCCGCGCCAUGGGAAAACAAACUUAGUGGCUUUGCGACCAGCAUGGAUCCAGACCAGCCUGCGCAUCCGCGCAGUCUGGUCGGGAUCCAUGCUGUUCGCUUUCAAAGCCUAUUGGAAUAAAAGAAACUGUUAGCGAAUAGCAUGGAUCCUGACCAGACUGCGUGGAUGCGCAGGCUGGUCUAGAUCCAUGCUGGUUGCAAAGCCAUUAUGUUGGUUUUCUCAUGGCACAGCUCAUUUAUUUGUUUAUUGAUUAAUACAAGUCAGAUACCUUGGUAUAUACACCGAGUGCCUUGUUGUAAAGAUUUGGGUUUUUAAAAAAGUCAUAAAUACAGGAAAUAAAGCAUUACACUGUAGAUAAUAAAACUGAUACAGAUCCCUGUGGCUGUGUAUGUUUGAAACGGCAUGAAGUCAUUUCUGUGACUGACGUACAUUUCAUUUAGAUGCACUUCUAUAAGAAAAACAGUAUUUAAAGAAAGUCAGAUUUAUAUGUUUUUGAAUUUUAGUGUGCAAAAAAAAAAAAGAAUCUAGUUUUAAGCCUUAGGAAGUUAGUAGAUGUAGAUGGAAAUACCCAGCUCUCGGGUAACUGUCCGUAAAGUACAGCAGAGUAGUGUUUCUGCCUAAAUAGUUACCUUCAAGCCCGAUACUCCCAUCAACACUAGAACAAGAAUUUUGUUCUGUAUGUAUAUCAUGUAUAAAUAUACUCUUAGACUUUUAUAAUCGGUCACUGUUGUAAUUGUGAUAACUUGGAUAAUAUUUAAAUUACACAACUAAAAGUUUCUCGAUCACCUUUCUUCCCAUAUGCACUUUAUCAUGAGGAUAAUUUUUCAUUAACUGUGCAUGGUAUACUUUAUUGUUUUAUUUUCAGCAUAGUCUUAACAAAAUACAUAAAAAUCAUAGGUGACCAAUUAUAAAUGUCUAUGAGUGUACGUAUAUAGUGUGAUGGGGAGUACUAAAUGGACAACUAAACAUGAAUCUCAUCGAGUUUAUUUAACAGGUUUAGACAUUUUUAGCUUGGCCAUUCAAAGAAGAGGGGAGCUGUCCUACUCGCCCCGGCGUCGGUGUGAGCGUGAGCGUCAAAAAUGUUAAAAUAGAGAAAAGUGGAAACUUCGCAGGUUGCUCAACACGACAGAAAUGAAAAUGUUGCAGGCCCGGUUUGAUUGAGCCUGUUCGUGGACGGUAGUGGAAAUGCAUGCUACCGUCCACGCUCUCUAGCCCCGGGUUGAGCAGAACUCAACAUUUACACAUGCUAAAAGUAGAAAAAGCAAUUUAGAGACAUCUGCCCCAAAUAUUUUCAAAGUCCAUUGAGAUAUUGCUUUCAUAUUUUGCAUACUUGUUUACCAUCAUGACCCCAGUCUGUAAAAAGGAGGAGGCAACUCUAUCGAGCAUUUUGACUGAAUUAUGGCCCCUUUUCGACUUAGAAUAAAUGUUAAAGUUUGUGUACCACCCCAAAUAUUUUCAAAGUCCAUUGAGAUAUUGCUUUCAUAUUUUGCAUACUUGUUUACCAUCAUGACUCCAGUCUGUAAAAAGGAGGAGGCAACUCUAUCAAGCAUUUUGACUGAAUUAUGGCCCCUUUUCAACUUAGAAUAAAUGUUAAAGUUUGCAUACCACCCCAAAUAUUUUCAAAGUCCAUUGAGAUAUUGCUUUCAUAUUUUGCAUACUCGUUUACCAUCAUGACCUCAGUCUGUAAAAAGGAGGAGGCAGCUCUAUCAAGCAUUUUGACUGAAUUAUGGCCCCUUUUCAACUUAGAAUAAAUGUUAAAGUUUGCGUACCACCCAAAAUAUUUUCAAAGUCCAUUGAGAUAUUGCUUUCAUAUUUUGCAUGCUCGUUAACCAUCAUUACCCCAGUCUGUAAAAAGGAGGAGGCAACUCUGUCAAGCAUUUUGACUGAAUUAUGGCCCCUUUUCGACUUAGAAUAAAUGUUAAAGUUUGCGUACCACCCCAAAUAUUUUCAAAGUCCAUUGAGAUAUUGCUUUGAUAUUUUGCAUACUUGUUAACCAUCAUGACCCCAGUCUGUAAAAAGGAGGAGGCAACUCUAUCAAGCAUUUUGACUGAAUUAUGGCCCCUUUUUGACUUAGAAUUUGCUUAUUGUAAUGUUAAAGUUUUACUCAUUGCUUAUAUUAUACUAUCCAGCACUGAGAAUAGUCAAGCGCACUGUCCACUGACAGCUCUUGUUUUCAUUCUUGCUAUUGAUAUAAGUUGAAUACUGUGAAAACAUGUUCUUACAAGUUGUCUCAUGGCUGUUCUGUUUGCAUUGCUAUAUUAUAUUGCUUUGGUAGUAUAUAAUCUUUAUGCGGCAACAUGUUUCACAGAUGCUGAUAAUUAUUGCAAGCUGAUGAACUUAUAAAGCAAGUAAGAAUUGACAUGAACAGUUUGGGUCAAAAAUAAAUGUUUAGGAAAUUGUUUUAGUAUCAUAUUGCUGAAAUGCUUUGAAAAUAUAACAAAUGAUAUAUAAGAUUUUGCAAGUUUAAACAUGUUAAAGCUGGCUGCAGUUAUAACAGCUUGGCAAUCCAUUCAACUUUCUGUGGCAUUAAUUUUAAGAUCUUGCAAGAAUACAAAAUUAAAUGUACUGUGUACAUAUCUUUCUACAGGGUUACAGGAAUAUGACAUUGAAAAAUUACUGUUAUAUUAUCAAAGCAUUUGGUGUGAUUUUGUCAGAUCGUUAUAAUAGCAGUUUUACCACAUAAAUGAUCAAAUUUUAUGUUUUGAUUUAAUUAAGUCUUACUUUCACAAAUUUGUAAUUUUUUAUGACCAAUAACUGAAUAAGCAUUCGCUUAGAAACACUUCUGUAGUAUGCCUUAGCAUUGUUGUGUGAAAUAACCCUUGAAUGAAGUGAACUGGUACCAGUGAAAUUGCGACAGUUUUCAUGUGCUCAUUUAAAGACUUCAGUACAGUUUUGUCAAACAGUCUUUUGUACAAAAUCUUACAGAACAUGUUAUUAAUAAAAGAAAAAAAUCUA